RNAcentral lists this transfer RNA (67 nucleotides) under Ostrinia palustralis. Its description in RNAcentral is "tRNA-Arg". Lineage: Eukaryota; Metazoa; Arthropoda; Insecta; Lepidoptera; Crambidae. The record is from RNAcentral.
AAGUAAGAAGCAAUAAUUUGCAUUUAAUUUCGACUUAAAAGAUAGAGUUUAUUAUACUCCUUAUUUA